UAAACAACAAAAUAUCUUAAAAAGGAUCCUUAAAACGGGAAAAGAAAUCUGGAAAUUUCCUAUACAGAUUUGUUUCAGAUGCCCACAGAGAAGAAACUAAAUGGCGGUAAGACCUUCCCCUCAAACAGAAACGUCAGGAAGGAGAUUGAGGUCUGCAUUACUAGAUGAAACAAAUAUCCCCAAUCUAAAAAAAAAACAGAGAGUAAAUUUGUUGUCUAUGGUGGCCGGUGGGAGCGACGAUCGGAGGCUGCUAAAUCAGAAGCUUUCACUAGAGCAUCUUCAACCCAAAAACAGUCUUCUAACCUCCGUAAACCCUCUUCCGCCAUUGCAUGAGCAUCAGAGUUUCCCUCGCGCGCGACAAACUGGAAACGACACUCGGAGAAGUUCCUAGUCGAAGCUUUCAGAUCCCAGCAAUAACGUAUCGGAAGCCCAUCUCCGAUGCAAACUGAACACCAUGCAACAGUGCGAUAGCUUCAGCUAAAGCUACUGUCCUUACAAGGUGAUGAACUCGAAACUCUGAACCCAAAAUAUUACCCUCUUCAUUUUUGAUAAUGAAACUCAAUACCGCUUUCUGUCUUACAAUCGAGAAACCGGCAUCCACAUUUAACUUUACCCAACCCGUUGGAGGGGGAUUCCUCAGCAGAUCAUACCCCUGGGUUUGGGAUGUUGAAGAUUUGAUGACAACUCUCGAUGUUCCAUGCUGAAACCCUUAAUGAAGGGAACUCACAGGAUUAAACGACCGGUGGACGUGGGACUCUGUUAUCUAUCAGACUUAUUAAAUACGUAUUUGUGUGUGUGAACCUAUGUCUUGAAGUUGUAUUUAAGUUUUGAAGAUUUAAGUAUGUUUUCAAAUAACAAAUAAUUUUAUGGUUUAAUUAUGGAUUGUAAAACUUGCCUUAAGUAUGUCUAUUUUCUGGUAAUUUAAUGUGACGUCCUAGAUUUGGUCUUUUUGUUUGGGCUGAGUUUAGGGUGUUACAUAAAAUUUUUUAGGUGAUCCUCAGACUUAGGGUUUGGCCAUGCUCAAUAGAUCAGUUCGGUUUACUGUUUUAA
Long non-coding RNA from Gossypium arboreum, 1050 nucleotides. RefSeq lists it as uncharacterized. Lineage: Eukaryota; Viridiplantae; Streptophyta; Magnoliopsida; Malvales; Malvaceae. The record is from RefSeq and is a predicted model, not a curated record. The transcript has 3 exons.